GACGAACGCUGGCGGCGUGCUUAACACAUGCAAGUCGAACGGUGAAGCUCCAGCUUGCUGGAGUGGAUCAGUGGCGAACGGGUGAGUAACACGUGAGCAACCUGCCCCUGACUCUGGAAUAAGCGCUGGAAACGGCGUCUAAUACUGGAUACGAGAAGGGUCCGCAUGGGCACUUUCUGGAAAGUUUUUCGGUUGGGGAUGGGCUCGCGGCCUAUCAGCUUGUUGGUGAGGUAAUGGCUCACCAAGGCGACGACGGGUAGCCGGCCUGAGAGGGCGACCGGCCACACUGGAACGGAGACAGGCCCCAAACUCCUACGGGAGGCAGCAGGGGGGAAUAUUGAACAAUGGGCGAAAGCCUGAUGCAGCAACGCCGGGUGGGGGAGGACGGCCUUCGGGUGGUAAACCUCUUUAGGCGGGGAGGAAGGAAAGUGACGGUACCUGCAGAAGAAGCACCGGCUAACUACGUG
Molecule: ribosomal RNA, 467 nt
Filed under: uncultured bacterium
Lineage: Bacteria
Description: partial 16S ribosomal RNA
Rfam family: Bacterial small subunit ribosomal RNA
Source: RNAcentral